This 284-nucleotide long non-coding RNA is filed under the name Ornithorhynchus anatinus (platypus). RNAcentral's name for it is "lncRNA (ENSOANG00000037545.1)". The record is from RNAcentral. Lineage: Eukaryota; Metazoa; Chordata; Mammalia; Monotremata; Ornithorhynchidae.
CGCUGGGGACCAAGCCACAUCGAAGGCAAGUGCUGAGAGCCACCACCGCCAGUGCCGGAGACACGAGACUGCCUGAAGUUACGUUUAGAGGCUGGAAUCUCUGCACCUUGCAAACAAAGAGCCCGACCUCCUCUGCGUUCCUCUCCCGGGCGAUCAAUCACUCCACGGAUUCCUCAGCAAGGGGCAGCGCCUCAGCUCCGGGCAGACGUGGCUCCCCCUGCUCCCGGGCCCCAAUGAACGCCUGCACUAGGCCCCAGGCCUGGAGUGAUUUGCCCGAGGAGUGA